This 3401-nucleotide long non-coding RNA is filed under the name Mus musculus (house mouse). RNAcentral's name for it is "long non-coding RNA chr14:16425427-16428828". Lineage: Eukaryota; Metazoa; Chordata; Mammalia; Rodentia; Muridae. The record is from RNAcentral.
AGAUAAACUUCCAAGUAAAACAGUUGCUGCUAAAAAGGGUACGUACUUUAUACAUGCUUGUGUUAUUGCAUAAGCUAUAUAGGAAUAAUUGAUGUGAAAGAGAAUCUAAUAUAUUUUUAAACUAUUUGCAUGAGUACUUCACUAUGAAACUUAAGAAUUGCUAAGAUAUCUAUUAGACCAUAUUUUAAGUCCCCCAUACCUCCUACUUUCAAAUGUUUGUUUUUAAGUUUGUAUUUGAGGUAAAACAUGCUAAAAUUGCAGUUUAACAGGCUGGUGAUGGUACACUUCUUUAAUACCAGCACUGGGGAGGCAGGGGCAGGCCUCUGUGAGUUUGACGCCAGCCUGGUCUAGAAGGUGAGUUCAGGAUAGCCUGGGCUAAACAGAGAGUCCCUGUCUAGAACACUCUACCACCCCCUAAAGAAAAAGAAUUGAGUUUAAAGAUUGCCCACCUUAAGAGCUCUUGGCAGCUGAUGACUUCAUAGGGAGGGGUGUCAUUCUUUGAAGGCAAUUCCACUAGUAGGAUUCCUGUGCUCAUAGGAGUGUUAAUUGGAUUUAGUGGGUUAUAAAAACUGAAGUUGGAAGAGGGACAUGUGGAGGCAGAUAUGAGAGAGAUUGAAGAAGGUAAAUAGGGUGGAUAUUAGUAUGUUUCAUUGUAUAAGUAUGUGAAAUUAUCAACAUUAAAUAAUUGUAGGAAAAGAUAGUUUUCCUAUAAAGCUCCUUUGGUAGAUUGGGUAGAAAAUAUGCAUUUAUCUUGAUUCAAUAUUAUGUUAGUUCUCCUUCCUACAGUUAGCAUAUUCCUUUUCUUUUUUAAUUAUAGUUUCUCCCUCCCCACCAUAGACUUUGUUCAUGAAAUGCUGCGUUGCUUCAUUAAUAGUAUACAGUUGUAAACUAUGUAACUUGUUCUUUUUUAAGUUCAGUAUUAGUGCUUUACAUUUAAAAAUAAUAUUUACUUUAAAAAUACAUAUCUAGGUAAGAUAUUAAGCCAUAUGGACUGCUUCCUAAAAGCAAGGAGAUCUAUAGUAUACACCAUUAGAGACAUGUGUAUUGGAUGUAGCAGAACUGAUAAUCAUAAGAGUCUCUUCUAUCUGAAUGCACUAGAACUGUGGGGACAUUAUGCAGAGGAGUAUCUAGGCAGCAUUCUAGGGGCCACCCCUAACAGACUCACUUCAUCUUCAAGACAUGUUGGCCUGUGUAUACAUUUCUUUUUUUGUUUUUUUAUCCAACGUAAUAUUUUUAUUUAUUAUGUGGGAAUUUCACAUAAUGCAUCCCUAUGGCACUCACUUUUCAGUCAGUCCUCCUAGUGUCUACAUUUCUUAUUAACUCUCUCCUCACCUAGCUACCUUUAAGCAGUGAUUGAAAGAAGCAGGUAUAGAAGUCUCUCAGGUUCUGAGUCUGGGUUGUUGUAUUGGCUCUCCAAAGUUCUUCAAGAGGAUUAAUUAAGCUUCAAGACUAUGCACUGGCUUGAUAACUUACCCCUUGACUGACUUUUGCUCUUCAAUGUCUAAAUUCUGUACUUUCUCUCAUCACCUACUAAGUAAAUAUUUAUGCUUGAAUCCAUAUCCUGGGGUCAGUUAGGUUCUGAACUCAAACUAAGACAGAUUCUAUAAUUUCUUUUCAAGACAUCAUUUUUGGGGCUGGAGAGAUGGGUCAGUGGUUAAGAGCACUUGCUAUGGUUGCAGUGCUUAAGAGCAAAAACAUUUAAAAAUAUUUUAAGAGAUUUUUUUCUUUAAGUCUUCAUAUGAGCAUCUUAUAAAAUACUGUGGGACAUAUAUCCCUUCUUGAAAUCUGUCACCAUGUUUCUUUCAUUAAGCUAAUGAGCUCAAGUUUAAUAUUAACUAAAAGACUAGACCAUUUUCCACCUAGCCUAUUUAGUUGUUUCUCUGCUAGUUGGAUGGAGCUAGCAAGAUCUUUCUCUACCUUCUUGAAAUACAAUUAGCAGAUAGUACCUCAAAGAAAAGACACACUACAGCCCUGUCUCCUAAGAACUGAACUGCCUGUGCUAAUCUGAGUUACAGAUAUUAUUAUUCACAUUAUAUUCUGCAGUUCCAAUAUUUUGCAGCAAAAGGCAACCUAUAUUGAUUAGAUAACUGACCCGUAUCUGGUGGGAGGUGUUGAACGUGCCAUAUAACUUCUGCAAACUUGAAAAUGUGACCAGAGAAAACUGUUUUCUAUUGCCCCGUUGUGAUGAACAUGCAUUCCUGCUAGAAGCUGCCUUUGGAUUCCUGUAGUAGAUUUAGUCAUGAGUAAUCAGAAGGAGUAAAGGCCAUAGUCUUCGGCUCCCUCUUCAUGCACAGUUCCUUCUGCUGUUCACCAGUGAGGGGCACUAUGUUUUAUCUCAGCUGGAGACUCAGUUCUGCUUUUCAGUGUAUUAGCAACGUUUUUCAGUUUCUAAUAGGAACCUCUGCCACUCAUUUCAGUCAGUCUAAUACAUUUGUUUUCCGGUCUCAUUUUUAUUGCACAAGUACAAAGUGAUUAUAGUGUUUAUAUGAACCAUAAACACAAGGUUUCUUUUGUAAACAUAAUAGUAAUAAAGUGGUCCUUGUAUCUAUGGAUCUAGGAUUUGCAUGUUUCUUUCCAGAUAAAAAUGCCAAGUCUUGAUUUUAACUACUGGAGGGAAAUGAGUUGCUUUGUAUUUGUUCUAUUUGAGGACAAGAGAACCAAUAAAAUUUUUCCCUCUACUAAAUUAUAUUUAUAAGCUACAACUUAGUGUGUGCUUGUACAUGGGUUAUAUAAUUAGUGUGUCAAAUAUAAUUUUUUGUCAUGAAUAUAUAUUUAAAAGAUGCGGUAUAAUUUCCUUUAAUAUUCUUUGCUUAAACUAUCUCAAUUGAAUUACCUAAAAAUUAAAGUAUGCCAAAUUGAAUAAUACUUGUUUUAUCAUCUAUGGGAUGAUAUUUAUCUUUAUAUUGGCAUCAAGCAGAGAGAAAACAUUUCUUGGUUUAAUGACUACUCAUAUCAGUAAUAAUAUCCACUGCUAUAGAAUUCACACCAGCUUGGUUUGUUGGUAAGUACAUUGCAAUGACCAACUAAAAGGAUGUUUGCUUAAUAGGUAAACCACCUUCAGAUACAGCCCCUAAAGCUAAGAGAGCCCCUAAACAGAAGAAGAUAGUAGAGACUAUAAACUCUGACUCAGACUCUGAAUUUGGCAUUCCAAAGAAGACUACAACACCAAAAGGUGAGGACUGGCUUUGUAUAACUCUUAAAUAUAAGAUAUAAAGAAAAUAUUUCUUUCUUCAAUUUUAUUGAGUUUAGUGACAGGGUACCUACUUUAUUUUAAAUUGGCUCACAUACACAUUGUACCAUACUGCAUUCUAAUGAAUGACAUAGAGCAGUUUAGUACAAUUAGUUGUGAGUUAAAACAUUGACCAGAUUAAAUAAAUAUACUGAAAAUAAGAAAUGAAAAU